Long non-coding RNA from Photinus pyralis (common eastern firefly), 1598 nucleotides. RefSeq lists it as uncharacterized. The record is from RefSeq and is a predicted model, not a curated record. The transcript has 2 exons. Lineage: Eukaryota; Metazoa; Arthropoda; Insecta; Coleoptera; Lampyridae.
UACACACAAUGCUUUCUGGAUGUUAUUGCUUAACGGUCAAAUUUCUUUUGGGUGUCUUCAACGCGACUAGGGCUUUUCAACCCAAUUUCAAACACGUUCACAACUCUCUUAAGAAAAUGCUAUACGAAUUUAUAACAGAAAAACUAAAACAUUGUUUUGAGUAGCCCAAGGGCAAAAAAGUUUUCAUUUUGCCAUACCUAAAAAAUUGUCUUCUGCAAUCUUACGUUGUGGAAGAAUACUAGGAAUGUACACAAAAGGAUACCACAUUAGUUACUACCCUUAUAUUCGUUAUUAUAUUCAUUUUUUUAAUGAAAAUAAUGCAGAAGACAGGUGUUUUUUUCAACUUGCGUAGUGUUGAACAUCUCCUAAACUGAAUUUAUUUGCACGAGUUUUGAAAGUGAUAAUUGCCCGAGUGAAAUAGGCAAAUUCAUGAAAAAAAAAACACUUUCAACACGUGUUGUAAACGAAAUUUGUUUGCAUAUAGAUAACCCAUAAUUGAAUAAUAUUAUUGACACUAGCGAUUUACUGUCACUCAAAAAUUGAGCCAUGGAAACGCACAGUAAAAAUCGUAAAAAAAGUACCACUUUCCAUAGGAAUUUUUGACAAAAAAAGUCCGGUAAAUUGAUAACUGCAAAACUACAAUCUUAUUGCUAAAAUUAGGAGGUCAAUACCCCAAUCAAUUAAUUUUUAAGUUUGCUUUGUGGUUUGUUUGCCGUUUAUCUUAGUCUGGAAGUCAUGCAAUCCACAUCCUUUUUACCGCUCUAAGGUUAAUUAGUUAAUAAUUCUGUAGUUAUGUAACUUAUAGGGGGGAAUUGUAAUUAAAGGCAAACUGUCAUUUGACCAAAGGGCAGGGGGUGCAUUUAAUAACAUUCGAUUAAAAGCACAAGAUUUUAAGAAACAUUUAAUUAGAAAGAUAAAUACAUUUCCUCUUAUUUAGAUAACUCGUUUUGAGCAUCAUACUGAAACCUUACGAUUUCCUCUAGAAUUGGCACUUUCACUAUGAUAGCGUAUGUAAUGGAAGCGAAACCAUGACAAUAAAAUAACAUAAUUAAGGUAAAUUGUAAUGUAGGAUACGAAAGAGUAUUUGCAGGAGGAACCAAUGUGGCUCAGUGGCGCCCCAAUAGGUGCAAUUAAUAGAAUAUGAAUAGUGGGGAUGUAUCAUCUUUGACCUUCUGAGCUGGUGGUUCCUGUACCUACCUUUAUCAGAUCGAUAAUAGCGAACCACACGCGUUAAUUAGUUGCAUAAAUAUUUGAUUGACUUCGAACAGAGCAUAGUUUCCCUGUUACGUUCAACAGAUUAACAUGAAGAUAUCUACGUUAGCAAUUUUGCUUACCGUUUACCUGUUGUGCUUAAAUGUUGUAUCAGCAAUAAGUGGGCUACGCCAAAAUGAUCAAAAUGCGGUUGGCACAAAAUGCUUUAAAGGGUACCAAAAAGUUGGUGGGGUAUGCCGAAAAUUGGAGGGUAAAUGAGAAGAGGAUGGAGGUCCGACAACAUCAAGAAUAGUAUAAAUGGAAAAUUGCGAAAGUAAAAUUAUUGAUUUGUAGAAUUGUUCGUUUGGUUUCGAUGUACGCUUUUAAAUAAAAUCGCUAACGCUUUA